RNAcentral lists this ribosomal RNA (152 nucleotides) under Setaria yehi. RNAcentral's name for it is "partial 5.8S ribosomal RNA". It matches the Rfam family "5.8S ribosomal RNA". From Rfam's summary of the family: 5.8S ribosomal RNA (5.8S rRNA) is a component of the large subunit of the eukaryotic ribosome. It is transcribed by RNA polymerase I as part of the 45S precursor that also contains 18S and 28S rRNA. Functionally, it is thought that 5.8S rRNA may be involved in ribosome translocation. Lineage: Eukaryota; Metazoa; Nematoda; Chromadorea; Rhabditida; Setariidae. The record is from RNAcentral.
AACUCUUAGCGGUGGAUCACUUGGCUCGUGGAUCGAUGAAGAACGCAGCUAGCUGCGAUAAAUAGUGCGAAUUGCAGACGCAUUGAGCACAAAAAUUUCGAACGCACAUUGCACCAUCGGGUUGAUUCCCGAUAGUACGUCUGGUUGAGGGU